RNAcentral lists this long non-coding RNA (3323 nucleotides) under Xyrichtys novacula (pearly razorfish). Lineage: Eukaryota; Metazoa; Chordata; Actinopteri; Labriformes; Labridae. The record is from RNAcentral.
GGCUAUAGAGUGGCGUUUUGGUUGAGUGUGUGGCUCUCUGUAUUGCUAUCUGCGGUCGUUACUAAAGUUGGGAGAAGCAAGCGGUCGGCAACAUUCAUCUCUUUUGAGGGGGUGUCUAAGUCGUUACGGUGUGUUUGACCCUAAAUUAAUUUUACGCUGGAAUAUCCCUUUAAACAAGCUUCAGAUUACCUGGACAUUUCUUUAAAUGUUUGUUUUCCUCAAUAAAACAGCAGCACUCACCAACAGUAAAGUUUGACUUUAACCUGAAGCGACAUUAAACUCUUAUUCUGCUCAGAAACAACCUUUAAACCCAACUUUGGAAACUUAAACUGUGAAAACAGACACCCAUUCAUGCAUGUGUAGACCUCCCCUCAGAAUAAAGACCUGAUUUUGUCCUGAAGACCCCCCUCCUCUCUUUUAAAGGUUGAUAAUAAAGUGAGGAAAACCCAUUGACUUCCACCAAGUGUUUCAGGACUAUUGAUUUACCUUCUUUACCUUCUUUACUUGUGCUGCUCUCACAUGGACUCGUACAGUCGCUCCUUCCUCCUCUCUUUCUCUCACUAAGGGUCGUCUUCGCUUUCUCUCCCGCUGCUGCCGCCCACUCCUCCUCCUCCACCACUUGAUUAUUUUCAGCUCCGCCGUGUGUGUGUGUGUGUGUGUGUUGUGUGUGUGUGUGUGUGUGUGUGUGUGUGUGUGUGUGUGUGUGUGUGUUAGCGUGCGUGUGUGUUUCAGUGUGAAUGCAUGUGCCAGGCAUUGGCUGGCUGACUGGCUUGUUGGUUGGCUGGCUGGCUGGCGGGCUGGUUUGGGAAAUACCUGGUCACGAUCAAUGACGAGAGGAAUUAUUUCGGUUGCAUAGCGCUCCCUACUGUCCUGAAACGAGAACUGAAGCUUAGACCUUAAACGCACCAUGAUGCCUGUGCCAAAAUAUGAACAUUAUCUCUGUGAAAAAUGGGAAAAAUUCAGAAUUAAAUCAUUAAAAUACACAGAAAAACUGAUGCAGGAAGAGAUUGUGCAACAAAAGUGAAUUUUCAGUGCAUUACAGAGGGUGUUAGGAUUGUUACACACACAAAUAUACACUAAAAAGCACUAAUAUAUAAGCUUAAAUUCAAGUAAAAUUAGUAUCAUAUGAGCUACAAACAAUUUCAAUACCUAUCCAGCACAGUAUUGAAAAGUAUCUGACAAAAACAGGCAGUUUAUCUCUAAAUAUUAUCACUUUGUUUAGAUAAACAGAUUAAUUUUCUAUUAUUUUGCUUGUUUGUUCCUCCAAACACUUUUUUAAACCCGAGCAGGAAAACAAAGAGAGACAAAAAGACAUCAUGAAAGCUUUAAGUGACUCUUUCGCUCAGGAUAAAAAUAGAUCCGGUUGCUUUGCGAGGAAAACCCUGGUCUGGAUCGCCCCCUACAGGGGGGACACUGUCAAAACAGGGACCUAUAAAUGGAUGGAAAUCCUUUAUCUGUUAUUUACUGCAAUAGAAGAAAACAAAUAUUCAAUAGUGUGGACUUUAAACUGAUGAAACUUUCAGGUUAUUCAGUUUUGUGUUUUCUUUUUGGGCUGCUAUUAUUUCUGCGGUUUUUCCAACAUUAAACCUAAAAUCUACAGUAAUUUGCUGCCAGUUAAUGUUUUUCUCAUAUUAAAUAUCAGCACUUUGUCAGUCUGAAGCGGGUUUUUCAAAAUAAAAGCCUCACAGGACAGACGCCAAUGCUUCUUGUUGGAUUUGUUCCUUUUCAUUGAUGCAGUUUUCACAGAAAUGGUUAAAGAAGGCUGAGUUUUCUCUCUGAGCAUCACUGCCACAGUCGAUUCAGAAAAACUGAGUCUGAGCGCCCCUCUUCCUCCAGAGCAUCCACCCACCCACACACACACACACACAGACACACACGUGUCUCCACAUGCAGAUCUGAAACACCCACUGAGAGCGCCCUUUCUCUCCCUCUGAGUGAGUCUCUUCUGUCUUUAGGAGAAGCUGCUUUUAGACCUUUUUCUGUGUCUGUUCUGUAUGAAAAUCAUGAAUAAGAUUUAACUCUCCUCCCCUCACAAGCAGAAGGCAAAUGUUUUUUUUAAUCACGUUAUUUAAGGUGUGCAGUCUGCUAAAAAGAAUUUAAAAAGAAGUGUAGUUUGGAUUCACUUUGACUUUUUAGACUCUCUUUAUUUGUCAGAGAUUUAAACACAUGUGAGACACCUGUAAACGCCCAAAAAGACAAAAUCCAACUUAAAAAUUUUUAAUUUUAAGGUGGAGACUCUAGAUUAGACUCGGAUUAUUUUUAGAAAUAGCAGUUUAGACAGCUCUGUCUAUGUAAGAGUUUACCUGAAGACCUGAGGACUUCAUCUAAUCUUCAUGAUUUUAACACCAAACUCAAAACGUACAUUUUUACUAGGGCUGGAACGAUCUGCUUUUCUCCCGAUUAGAUUCUUGUACAAGUUUUUGGAUGCCGAUUCCAUUUCAGUUGCAACUCUACGAUAUUGAUGUGAAACAGUUCAAUGAUAAUAAUUGUCUACUGACUAUUUCAGGAACCAUAUUUCCCCAAAAAAUACACAUCACAUGUAAGUUAGUUUUUCUGAUUUAUUCUUUAAUUUGAAAGAAAAAAAAAUCGUUUAAAGAAUUGCCAAACCAAAAAAUUGCGAUACUUUUGUGAAUCGAUUUUUUUCUCCCACCCCGACUUGUUAGUCUUUUUUUUAACUACAUUUUAUAUCAACUUAACUUUAAGUGUUUUAGUAUUUAUCUCUUUCUAGUUUUAAUGACAGGAUCGUCUCUAAUUGAGCUAUUUUGGUGCUCUUAUUUUAGUAUCUUCUAAUGUUGUUUUUAUUUCAUUUUAUUCAUUAUUUAAUUUGAAGUGAUUUUAUGUUUUUAGAUUUUAACCUAAACCUCCAGAGUUUCCUUACCUUGAAUUUUAAAACGGUGUUUCCUCUGUGCCCACAUUCCUGUUUCUAUAAAAUCGAGCUCUUUUUAAGUUCAUGCAUUUUAAUUCAUGUUUCUGUUGUGUUUAGAUCGUGGAGUGGGAAUGAGGGGUUAGGCUGGGGUAGAUGAAAAGUUCCAUAUAAAUAAAGACUGAUUGAUUGAGAAAGAAAAUAUUCAACUCCAUUUAAGCAUUUUUGGCUGAAGCCUGAUGAAAACGAAUUAAAGCUGUUUGGGAAUUUAAAGCCACAGGUCCGAGCAGAAUUAUUCUUAUUUUAGGAAAUUAUGAACAGAGAAAGUAAAUAAAAUGCGACCCAAACACGGCAGAGACUAUUUCUGACUGCAUCAAUUAUUAAGAGCCAGACCCCCCCUCUCUUUUUCUACUUCAAAGCAGACACACCCACAACCCAGCACCCCAACACACAAACACCA